GACGAACGCUGGCGGCGUGCUUAACACAUGCAAGUCGAACGGAAAGGCCCUGCUUUUGUGGGGUGCUCGAGUGGCGAACGGGUGAGUAACACGUGAGUAACCUGCCCUUGACUUUGGGAUAACUUCAGGAAACUGGGGCUAAUACCGGAUAGGAGCUCCUGCUGCAUGGUGGGGGUUGGAAAGUUUCGGCGGUUGGGGAUGGACUCGCGGCUUAUCAGCUUGUUGGUGGGGUAGUGGCUUACCAAGGCUUUGACGGGUAGCCGGCCUGAGAGGGUGACCGGCCACAUUGGGACUGAGAUACGGCGCAGACUCCUACGGGAGGCAGCAGUGGGGAAUAUUGCACAAUGGGCGGAAGCCUGAUGCGGCAACGCCGCGUGCGGGAUGACGGCCUUCGGGUUGUAAACCGCUUUCGCCUGUGACGAAGAGUGAGUGACGGUAAUGGGUAAAGAAGCACCGGCUAACUACGUG
This 468-nucleotide ribosomal RNA is filed under the name uncultured bacterium. RNAcentral's name for it is "partial 16S ribosomal RNA". It matches the Rfam family "Bacterial small subunit ribosomal RNA", at positions 28 to 507 of the family's 1533-position model. The record is from RNAcentral.